This 484-nucleotide ribosomal RNA is filed under the name Moraxella sp. canine oral taxon 018. RNAcentral's name for it is "bacterial SSU rRNA". It matches the Rfam family "Bacterial small subunit ribosomal RNA", at positions 9 to 494 of the family's 1533-position model. Lineage: Bacteria; Pseudomonadati; Pseudomonadota; Gammaproteobacteria; Moraxellales; Moraxellaceae. The record is from RNAcentral.
GAGUUUGAUUAUGGCUCAGAUUGAACGCUGGCGGCAGGCUUAACACAUGCAAGUCGAACGGAAGUUACUAGCUUGCUAGCAACUUUAGUGGCGAACGGGUGAGUAACAUUUAGGAAUCUGCCUCAUAACGGGGGAUAGCUCGGGGAAACUCGAAUUAAUACCGCAUACACCCUACGGGGGAAAGGUGGCGCAAGCUGCCGAUAUGAGAUGAGCCUAAAUCAGAUUAGCUAGAUGGUGGGGUAAAGGCCUACCAUGGCGACGAUCUGUAACUGGUCUGAGAGGAUGAUCAGUCACACCGGAACUGAGACACGGUCCGGACUCCUACGGGAGGCAGCAGUGGGGAAUAUUGGACAAUGGGCGAAAGCCUGAUCCAGCCAUGCCGCGUGUGUGAAGAAGGCCAUAAGGUUGUAAAGCACUUUAAGCAGGGAGGAAGAACUUUUAGUUAAUAGCUAAAAGUGGUGACGUUACCUGCAGAAUAAGCACC